Molecule: ribosomal RNA, 429 nt
Filed under: uncultured bacterium
Lineage: Bacteria
Description: bacterial SSU rRNA
Rfam family: Bacterial small subunit ribosomal RNA
Source: RNAcentral
UGGGGAAUAUUGGGCAAUGGGGGAAACCCUGACCCAGCGACGCCGCGUGGGUGAUGAAGGCCUUCGGGUCGUAAAGCCCUGUCGGGAGGAACGAAUGACCUCGUCGCAAAUAGCUACGAGGUGUGACGGUACCUCCGAAGGAAGCACCGGCCAACUCCGUGCCAGCAGCCGCGGUAAGACGGAGGGUGCAAGCGUUGCUCGGAAUCACUGGGCGUAAAGGGUGCGUAGGCGGCCUCCUAAGUCUGACGUGAAAGCCCAGGGCUUAGCCCUGGAAGGGCGUUAGAAACUGGGAGGCUUGAGUACCGGAGGGGAGAGUGGAAUUCCCGGUGUAGCGGUGAAAUGCGUAGAUAUCGGGAAGAAUACCGGUGGCGAAAGCGACUCUCUGGACGGUUACUGACGCUGAGGCACGAAAGCGUGGGGAGCAAACAG